This 232-nucleotide ribosomal RNA is filed under the name uncultured Syntrophomonas sp. RNAcentral's name for it is "partial 16S ribosomal RNA". It matches the Rfam family "Bacterial small subunit ribosomal RNA", at positions 1150 to 1382 of the family's 1533-position model. Lineage: Bacteria; Bacillati; Bacillota; Clostridia; Eubacteriales; Syntrophomonadaceae. The record is from RNAcentral.
UGCCGGUGACAAGCCGGAGGAAGUGGGGAUGACGUCAAAUCAUCAUGCCCUUUAUGACCUGGGCUACACACGUGCUACAAUGGAUGGUACAGAGAGCAGCGAGGCAGCGAUGUGGAGCGAAUCUCAAAAAGCCAUUCUCAGUUCGGAUUGGAGUCUGCAACUCGACUCCAUGAAGUCGGAAUCGCUAGUAAUCGCGAAUCAGCAUGUCGCGGUGAAUGCGUUCCCGGGCCUU